AAUGACGGACAGACAGACGUACAGGGGUAGUUGAGGGGGCAUAAAAAAUAUAGCUUCAAUUACAUCUUUUAUUGCGUCAACUUGUAGACAGUAACCCUGAUGAUUUCUAUUUUUAAGAUUUUACCAUUUUUGCGUUCAUGUACUUACAACGUAUUUUUGUCUGAAUUAGUAAUUGUUUUAGAUAUGUUUAUUGAUAAUGAACAUACAUGUAUCACAUUUUUUACAACGUAUAAUUUCUUUUUAAAAUGUUCCAUAAAAGAGGGUCUGAUUGAGGUUUACGGAAUACAGAAUAAUGGGCAAAAAUUGCAGAAUAAAAUGCAAAAAAGAAAAAAAAGGAAAAAGUGUAUAAUGAGGUGCUAAAAUAUAAAGAAUAAAGAAUAUUGGUAAUACUAAAUAAAAAUUUAUGAUAAUUAUCCAGACUCUUAUGAUAAAAAGAAUUUAUUAACCAACUAUGUGCAUUAUUGCCAAAAUUGACUGUUUAUUAAAAAUUACAUAUUUUCUGUAAUGGCCCUGUUUUUCUGUAAUGGCCCUGUUUUUUUCUGUAAUGGCCCUGUUUUUCUGUAAUGGCCCUGAUUUUUCUGUAAUGGCCCUGUUUUUCUGUAAUGGCCCUGUUUUUUCUGUAAUGGCCCUGUUUUUCUGUAUAUAUAAGAGUAAAGCGGAUUAUGUCAAAUGUGAAGAGUCAAAAAUUAGUUUUAUGGUUCAAUAAAAUCAAAAUAAAUUAUUGCCAUUCAUUAUAAAUAAAUUUCUAUCAAAAAUAAGGCUCAAAGAAUGUUUUAUAUUAUUUAUAUAAACAAUAACAACGUACAACGUACACAGUCACAUGUUGGCGUAUGAAUACACAACGUCAGAGUGGGCGUGUCGCCAUCAAAAUUGACAACAUUGAAAAUAAAACUAAUAAUUUUAACCAAUCAGAAGACAGUUAAUACACCAAAUUUAUUUAUAUCUUGAUGUUUGUUGUGAGCUCAGGCUCUGUGUUAAAUGCCUGACUUUGACCUAUAAUUGUUUACUUUUUAUACAUUGUGACUUGGAUUGAGAGUUGUUAUAUACCAUAUCUUCUUCCUUAUAUUUUGUAUGCUACACUCCUUUCAAAUACAGUGUAUUUUGAAUGUUUCAAGGGACAUAAUUCAUAAUGAGGCCAAAUAAAAAUAUAUGUGUGGUUCUAAUAACAUACUUUUAAAAAGGAGGGUUGAAUGGUCUGCAAUUUUUUUUCAUUUAAAAAAAAUAAAAUAUUUUGGAUUGUCAAAAUCUGAAUUUUAUUCCGGUAUUAUACACACCACUACUGGAAGUUCACCAUUUUUACAUGUGUUGGGUUGUAAAAUAAACAGUCUUGUUAUGUGCAAGUUGAUUUUGUUGCAUUCUGUUACCAUAUGUUGACUUUUAGCCAUAGCAGAAAACUUCUGCUGCAAAUUCAAAUAACAGAAAUCAAUGAAUUUAAUUCAUUGUAAUUAUUUGAAUUCAAAUUCCUGAAGAUUUGAUCGUUUAAAAAAUGUUUUUCAGAAAUGAAAUAAAAAGUUUUAGGGUCGGAACAGAUUUAAACUAGGAUCGGUUGGGAAACUGGAACCACACAUAUUUUUAUUUGGCCUGAGUUCAGAUUUAGGGAAAGGGAAAAAGGCUAUAGAAUUCAUAACAUAAUGACUGCAUGUUUGUUUUUGUUUUUUUACAAAUUUACAUCUUUUCUAGCUUUGGAAUGGCAUAUAUGACAUGAAUAUUCAUAUUGUAAACUAUGAUUUAAUGGUCAGAUAAUUAAGUGACAGAAACUGUUCCUAAUAUCCUCAAAUGCAAGAAGCUAUGGGUCACUGUGAACUGUCUAAAUAUGAGAACCUAAUAGGUGGCAGGUUGAUGAAACUUACAUAAGUGAAGAGAUAAAUGAACCUGGUGCUCCGCAAGGUGCAGUUUUAUACAACCAAAGAAGUUGAACCUUGAACAGUUGGGGCAAGUAUGGACACAACAGUCAAGCUUGAAACAGCUCUCAAUUUGGAUUUCGAUAAAAAUUUUGACAUAAUAUGAGUUUCUGACCCUAAAUAAAUGUCAAAAUCUUACAAAUCUAUUGUGCAAUAUUGUGCAAAUAAAGAUUUCUUCUUCAAGCUUUUUUUCAAAAAUUUGGAAAAAAAACA
This 2114-nucleotide long non-coding RNA is filed under the name Mytilus galloprovincialis (Mediterranean mussel). Lineage: Eukaryota; Metazoa; Mollusca; Bivalvia; Mytilida; Mytilidae. The record is from RNAcentral.